GACGAACGCUGGCGGCGUGCUUAACACAUGCAAGUCGAACGGAAAGGCCCUGCUUUUGUGGGGUGCUCGAGUGGCGAACGGGUGAGUAACACGUGAGUAACCUGCCCUUGACUUUGGGAUAACUUCAUGACACUGGGGCUAAUACCGGAUAGGAGCUCCUGCUGCAUGGUGGGGGCUGGAAAGUUUCGGCGGUUGGGGAUGGACUCGCGGCGUAUCAGCUUGUUGGUGGGGUAGUGGCUUACCAAGGCUUUGACGGGUAGCCGGCCUGAGAGGGUGACCGGACAAGUUGGGACUGAGAUACGACCCAGACUCCUAUGGGAGGCAGCAGUGGGGAAUAGUGCACAAUGGGCGGAAGCCUGAUGCAGCAACGCCGCGUGCGGGAUGACGGCAUUGGGGUUGUAAACCGCUUUCGCCUGUGACGAAGCGUGAGUGACGGUAAUGGGUGAAGAAGCACCGGCUAACUACGUG
Molecule: ribosomal RNA, 468 nt
Filed under: uncultured bacterium
Lineage: Bacteria
Description: partial 16S ribosomal RNA
Rfam family: Bacterial small subunit ribosomal RNA
Source: RNAcentral